RNAcentral lists this ribosomal RNA (311 nucleotides) under uncultured bacterium. RNAcentral's name for it is "bacterial SSU rRNA". It matches the Rfam family "Bacterial small subunit ribosomal RNA", at positions 609 to 917 of the family's 1533-position model. The record is from RNAcentral.
GUAACCUGGGAACUGCGUUUGAGAAUGGCAAGCUAGAGUCUGUCAGAGGGGGGUAGAAUUCCACGUGUAGCAGUGAAAUGCGUAGAGAUGUGGAGGAAUACCGAUGGCGAAGGCAGCCCCCUGGGAUAAGACUGACGCUCAUGCACGAAAGCGUGGGGAGCAAACAGGAUUAGAUACCCUGGUAGUCCACGCCCUAAACGAUGUCGACUGGUUGUUGGGCAACUUGAUUGCUUAGUAACGAAGCUAACGCGAGAAGUCGACCGCCUGGGGAGUACGGUCGCAAGAUUAAAACUGCAAAGGAAAUUGACGGG